RNAcentral lists this long non-coding RNA (2696 nucleotides) under Nicotiana tabacum (common tobacco). Its description in RNAcentral is "long non-coding RNA (NTAB_LNC008149)". Lineage: Eukaryota; Viridiplantae; Streptophyta; Magnoliopsida; Solanales; Solanaceae. The record is from RNAcentral.
AAACUGGUUUAAAAACCCAAUUGACAAAGAAGGGUAUAAGUGUUUAACCAUGGCCGGGUGAGGUUAAAGAAAUAGAAGUUAAGAAAAAAGUAAAAUCUUUAAAAGAUUGGGAAGAAGAGAUGAACAGAGUAAAAAAAAAAUUUACGGGGUAAUAUCAGUUCAUAAUUUAGCUAACAUGUUAACUUUACAAGUCUAUAGAAUAAAAGAGAGAGAGUACCGAGUAGGAUUUUCACAAAUAUAAGAUUUAACUGUAAAGAAUUUUUUACUAUUAAUGUCCAAUAACCGCAACAACUACACCCAUCCAGAAAGUUUUACUAGAAGCCUUACUCAAAAUUUAGAAGAAUUUAUAAUAGACAUAGAUAAUGGAUUCUAUUCUAUAAUAGAUCUAGCAGUACAUUUUAUCUACCUAGAACAAAAUAACAGAAUCUAUUUAGAUAAAUAUAGAAAACAAUUAUACUUAAUAUCGGAAAUAUUCAGAUAUCACCAGCCAAUCUACUCUCACUAUCAGAGAAGAAGAUUUCAAAGAAGGAGAAGAAUAUACUACUAGACAAUAUUUAUUUUACCUACUCCAGAAACUCCUCCUUUAUAGGUUAUUGUUUUUUAAUCCCCUUUACUAUUAGAAACUCCCCCUUUAUAGUUUAUUGUUUUUUAAUCCCUUUUACUAUUAGAAACCCCCCUUUAUAGUUUAUUGUUUUUUAAUCCCCUUUAUAUAUAUAUGACUACUGGUUGAGCUUAGAGAAGAGUGGUGGAACCCCAUUGCAUAUCCCGAGACAGAGAUAUCAUAUAUGAGUGGAUAUCAUAAGGUAAUGCCAGUGGCAGUUUUCACGAUAAACAACAGAAAGUGGUCUACCUAAGAGAGAGAGAGACGGAAAGAGUGCGUAUGGUGGGGUAAGAGGAAACUAAUAAAGUCAGGGGUCGGCUGUAGCCUAACAGCAUUUGGCUUUAGAGAAAUCAAUGGAACGAUUGAAAUAUCGAAAUGAAAGGAAAUGAUUGGUUCCCUAAUUCUCUGCGGUAAAAAGAGAAGAGUCUGACUUUUGUAUGUAAUGAGGAUAUUGAUUUGUCCUUAUGGGUGUCAAAGUUAUCAAACAAAUAAUUUUUAAGCCAUUUUUUGUAGUGUUUGAUAGAGUUAGAAAGUGCUUUUAAGCACUUGUUUUAAGUUUAAUGACAAAAAUAAGCCAAAAAUUAAAAUUCCUAAUUUAUGGCUUAAAAGUUAUUUUAGCUUAAACGUCACUUAAAAUAAAUUUAUCCAAACGACCUCUAAAACAUUAAAAAAUAACACUUUUUUUUUAAAAUUUAGUUGGUUAAACAGUCAUGAUAAAUAAAGAAAAAACUUUUGUUAGUCUUAUUCGGUAAUUGAAGGGGAGCCUUGGCGUAACUGAUAAAGUUACUGCCAUGUGACCAGGAGGUCUCGGGUUCAAACCGUAGAAAUAGCCUCUUGUAGAAAUGCAGGGUAAGACUGAGUACAAUAGACCCUUGUGGUCCGGCUCUUCCCCGGACCCUACGCAUAGCGGAAGCUUAGUGCACCAGGCUGCCCCGUUAAUCUGAUUUGGUAAUUACACAAAUUAUACAGAAUGAACAAUCAAUUAAAGGAUAAUUUUGAAUUGGACGGGUUAAAUUAUGACUUAUUGUUUAGUUCAGAUUGACCAAUUUUAAACCAAAAAAUUCUUUUUAUGACCAAACCAAUUUAUCACUUCAACCUGAUGUUCAACCCGUUUAUUUGAAAGAAGAAUUCGAGCCCGUUUGAAUGAGCUUGUUUUAAGUUACUUUUAAGCCAAAUAGUUUUUAAGCCAUAAGUUAGGAAUUCUAAUUUUUUGGUUUUGGCUUGUUUUUGUGAUUUUAGCUUAAAAAUAAGUGCUUAAAAGCACUUUUUUACUUUAUUCAAACAUUACAAAAUGACUUAAAAGCUAUUUUGGCUUAAAAACACUUACAACAAGCCAAUCCAAACGGGCUCUUAACCUAAAUAGUAAUUGCUUAAAUUAUGCCGCUCACAUCGCCUAUAAUAUAUGUAUAAUUAUAUAUAAUUAAUACAUAAUUUAUGUAUACUAACUAAAAAUGUAAACUAUCAAUUUGAUCUACUACUUGUAUAAUGAUUCGGGAUUUUAUUUGUCAUUGUCAUUAUAUAGUGACUUUAAGAAUCCAGCGCAUCAAUAAAGAUUGUGGUGGAAUGAUAAUCCUUGCUAAAAAUUUUGAAUUUAAGCCCCGACUAGAAAAUCACAUUUGUCAAGAGGACUGCUUUCCUUCCCCCGUUAUGAAACUUCCCGAUGCAUAUUCAAAUUUAAUCAGGCGUUAUUGCGAAUAUCAAAUACCUGACCAAAAACAAAAAAAAUGAACCUGGCCGCAGAAGGACUGAUUAUUGGGAAGAGGGGCGGACAAGAGGGGUGCAUAUCUUAUCUCUGUACCCCUUUAAGCCCUCUUUUUUAUGCACCAACUUGAUCCAUUUUUCAUUUACCCACUAGUCCCACUACUCUUGUCACCCUCACGUGAACCCAUCCUCUUCCUUUUACUUUUUGCAACUUCAACCAACUUUCUUCUUCUCUCUUAUAUAAUUAGCUGUCUACUCUAUGUAUAUAUAAAUGAAAAACUGAGACAUUUCUAGCCAUAACAAAAGAGCACCAUUAGCCACCGCUCUUACAUAAGAAUCAUCAGCUCUUCUUUCAUUUCAGAUCAAAAUCUAACAACGCUUAGCAAAAAAAAAU